CCAGUUGGCCGGGCAGCCGCGCCUUACCAAUGUCGAAAGACGGUAAAGUGAGGAAAGUCCGGGCUCCACGGAAACACGGUGCCGGAUAACGUCCGGCGGGGGCGACCCUAGGGAAAGUGCCACAGAGAGCAAACCGCCACGCCUACGUGGUAAGGGUGAAAGGGUGGGGUAAGAGCCCACCGCGCCGCUGGUAACAGCGGUGGCAAGGUAAACCCCACCGGGAGCAAGACCGAAUAGGGAUGAUGCGGGGCGGACGAAAGUCUGCCAACAGCCUGUUUCUGGGCCAGUCAUCCGGGUGGGUUGCGUGAGGCGGCAUGCAAAUGUCGUCCCAGAUGAAUGGCUGCCACGUUCCGGAUAAAACCGGAGCCAUACAGAACCCGGCUUACAGGCCAACUGGCAAA
Molecule: RNase P RNA, 401 nt
Filed under: Rhizobium sp. Td3
Lineage: Bacteria; Pseudomonadati; Pseudomonadota; Alphaproteobacteria; Hyphomicrobiales; Rhizobiaceae
Also listed under: 1 other name
Description: RNase P RNA component class A
Rfam family: Bacterial RNase P class A
About the family: Ribonuclease P (RNase P) is a ubiquitous endoribonuclease, found in archaea, bacteria and eukarya as well as chloroplasts and mitochondria.
Source: RNAcentral